AUGAGUGCUUUAGGCCGUCCACAAGAUAUGUUUUCGGAUACUGCCAUACAAUUACAACCUAUCUUUGCUCAAUGGGUACAAAAUAUCCAUGCUACUGCGCCUGGCGUAACAGCUCCUGGUGCAACAACAAGUACUAGCUUAGCGUGUGGAGGCGGCGAGUUAGUAGCAGUAGGUGGCAAAGUGGCUUUGUUACCUAUUCCAUUAGGAACCGCAGAUUUUUUAGUCCAUCACAUUCAUGCAUUUACCAUACAUGUGACUGUAUUAAUACUUUUGAAAGGUGUUUUAUUUGCUCGGAGUUCCCGUUUGAUACCCGAUAAAGCAAAUCUAGGUUUUCGCUUUCCUUGCGAUGGGCCUGGCCGAGGGGGAACAUGUCAAGUAUCCGCCUGGGAUCAUGUUUUCUUAGGUUUAUUCUGGAUGUACAAUGCAAUUUCGGUAGUCAUUUUCCAUUUCAGUUGGAAAAUGCAGUCGGAUGUUUGGGGUACUAUAAGUGAUCAAGGGGUGGCAACUCAUAUUACAGGGGGAAACUUUGCACAGAGUUCCAUUACGAUUAAUGGGUGGCUUUGA
This 564-nucleotide ribosomal RNA is filed under the name Triticum aestivum (bread wheat). RNAcentral describes it as "partial small subunit ribosomal RNA". Lineage: Eukaryota; Viridiplantae; Streptophyta; Magnoliopsida; Poales; Poaceae. The record is from RNAcentral.